AUUGAACGCUGGCGGAAUGCUUUACACAUGCAAGUCGAACGGCAGCACGGACUUCGGUCUGGUGGCGAGUGGCGAACGGGUGAGUAAUGUAUCGGAACGUGCCAGUCGUGGGGGAUAACGUAGUGAAAAUUACGCUAAUACCGCAUACGAUCUAUGGAUGAAAGCGGGGGAUCGCAAGACCUCGCGCGAUUGGAGCGGCCGAUAUCAGAUUAGGUAGUUGGUGGGGUAAAGGGCCACCAAGCCAACGAUCUGUAGCUGGCCUGAGAGGACGACCAGCCACACUGGAACUGAGACACGGUCCAGACUCCUACGGGAGGCAGCAGUGGGGAAUUUUGGACAAUGGGCGAAAGCCUGAUCCAGCCAUUCCGCGUGCAGGAUGAAGGCCCUCGGGUUGUAAACUGCUUUUGUACAGAACGAAAAGGUUUCUACUAAUACUAGGAGCUCAUGACGGUACUGUAAGAAUAAGCACCGGCUAACUACGUGCCAGCAGCCGCGGUAA
RNAcentral lists this ribosomal RNA (499 nucleotides) under uncultured bacterium. RNAcentral describes it as "partial 16S ribosomal RNA". It matches the Rfam family "Bacterial small subunit ribosomal RNA", at positions 30 to 523 of the family's 1533-position model. The record is from RNAcentral.